RNAcentral lists this ribosomal RNA (356 nucleotides) under uncultured Glomeraceae. RNAcentral's name for it is "SSU rRNA". It matches the Rfam family "Eukaryotic small subunit ribosomal RNA", at positions 572 to 929 of the family's 1831-position model. Lineage: Eukaryota; Fungi; Glomeromycota; Glomeromycetes; Glomerales; Glomeraceae. The record is from RNAcentral.
AUUCGCCGCGGUAAUUCCAGCUCCAAUAGCGUAUAUUAAAGUUGUUGCAGUUAAAAAGCUCGUAGUUGAAUUUCGGGGUCAGUAGGCUGGUCGUGCCCCCGGUACGUACUGGUCUAACUGAUUCCUCCUUCCUGAAGAACCGUAAUGCCAUUAAUUUGGUGUUGCGGGGAAACAGGACUGUUACUUUGAAAAAAUUAGAGUGUUUAAAGCAAGCUAACGCUUGAAUACAUUAGCAUGGAAUAAUGAAAUAGGACGAUCGAUCCUAUUUUGUUGGUUUCUAGGAUUGACGUAAUGAUUAAUAGGGAUAGUUGGGGGCAUUAGUAUUCAAUUGUCAGAGGUGAAAUUCUUGGAUUUAU